CUGGAAGGUUAUUGAUGGGGUUAGCCGCAGGGCGAGGCUCUUGACAGAAGCCCCAGUAAACGGCGGCCGUAACUAUAACGGUCCUAAGGUAGCGAAAUUCCUUGUCGGGUAAGUUCCGACCUGCACGAAUGGCGUAAUGAUGGCCAGGCUGUCUCCACCCGAGACUCAGUGAAAUUGAACUCGCUGUGAAGAUGCAGUGUCCCCGCGGCAAGACGGAAAGACCCCGUGAACCUUUACUAUAGCUUGACACUGAACAUGGAGCCUUGAUGUGCAGGAUAGGUGGGAGGCUGAGAAGUGCGGACGCCAGUCUGCGUGGAGCCAUCCUUGAAAUACCACCCUUGAAUGUUCGAUGUUCUCACCUGGGCCCGUAAACCGGGCCGGGGACAGUGUCUGGCGGGUAGUUUGACUGGGGCGGUCUCCUCCCAAAGCGUAACGGAGGAGCACGAAGGUUGGCUAAUCACGGUCGGACAUCGUGAGGUUAGUGCAAAGGCAUAAGCCAGCUUAACUGCGAGAGUGACGGUUCGAGCAGGUACGAAAGUAGGUCUUAG
Molecule: ribosomal RNA, 548 nt
Filed under: Photorhabdus luminescens
Lineage: Bacteria; Pseudomonadati; Pseudomonadota; Gammaproteobacteria; Enterobacterales; Morganellaceae
Description: bacterial LSU rRNA
Rfam family: Bacterial large subunit ribosomal RNA
Source: RNAcentral